This 425-nucleotide ribosomal RNA is filed under the name uncultured bacterium. RNAcentral's name for it is "partial 16S ribosomal RNA". It matches the Rfam family "Bacterial small subunit ribosomal RNA", at positions 354 to 796 of the family's 1533-position model. The record is from RNAcentral.
GUUAGGAAUAUUGGACAAUGGGCGCAAGCCUGAUCCAGCCAUGCCGCGUGAACGAUGAAGGCCUUCGGGUUGUAAAGUUCUUUAGCCGAUGAUUAUAAUGACUGUAGUCGGAAAAUAAGCCCCGGCUAACUUCGUGCCAGCAGCCGCGGUAAUACGAAGGGGGCGAGCGUUAUUCGGAAUCACUGGGCGUAAAGCGUGCGUAGGCGGUCUCGUAAGUUAGGAGUGAAAGCCCAGGGCUCAACCUUGGAAUUGCUCUUAAAACUGCAAGGCUCGAAUCUCGGAGAGGAUAGCGGAAUUUCCAGUGUAGCAGUGAAAUGCGUAGAUAUUGGAAGGAACACCAGUGGCGUAAGCGGCUAUCUGGACGAGUAUUGACGCUGAGGCACGAAAGCGUGGGGAUCAAACAGGAUUAGAAACCCCAGUAGUCC